GACGAACGCUGGCGGCGUGCUUAACACAUGCAAGUCGAACGGUGAAGCCUUCGGGUGGAUCAGUGGCGAACGGGUGAGUAACACGUGAGCAAUCUGCCCUUGACUCUGGGAUAACUUCGGGAAACCGGAGCUAAUACCGGAUAUGACAUCUGGCCGCAUGGUCUGGGUGUGGAAAGAUUUAUCGGUCAGGGAUGAGCUCGCGGCCUAUCAGCUUGUUGGNGGGUAAUGGCCCACCAAGGCGACGACGGGUAGGCCGGCCUGAGAGGGCGGACCGGCCACACUGGGACGUGAGACACGGCCCAGACUCCUACGGGAGGCAGCAGUGGGGAAGUAUUGCGCAAUGGGCGAAAGCCUGACGCAGCGACGCCGCGUGAGGGAUGAAGG
Molecule: ribosomal RNA, 384 nt
Filed under: uncultured bacterium
Lineage: Bacteria
Description: bacterial SSU rRNA
Rfam family: Bacterial small subunit ribosomal RNA
Source: RNAcentral